UAAGCGGAGGAAAAGAAACUAACAAGGAUUCCCCUAGUAACUGCGAGUGAAGNGGGAAAAGCUCAAAUUUAAAAUCUGGUNNUCUUUGGCCAUCCGAGUUGUAAUCUAGAGAAGCGUCUUCCGCGCUGGACCGUGCACAAGUCUCCUGGAACGGAGCGUCGUAGAGGGUGAGAAUCCCGUCUUUGGCAUGGACACACCAGGGCUUUUGUGAUGCGCUCUCGAAGAGUCGAGUUGUUNGGGAAUGCAGCUCAAAAUGGGUGGUGAACUCCAUCUAAAGCUAAAUAUUGGCGAGAGACCGAUAGCGAACAAGUNCCGUGAGGGAAAGAUGAAAAGCACUUUGGAAAGAGAGUGAAACAGUACGUGAAAUUGUUGAAAGGGAAACGCUUGAAGUCAGUCGCGUCGACCGAGACUCAGCCUCGCCUCGGGC
This 427-nucleotide ribosomal RNA is filed under the name uncultured Russulaceae. RNAcentral describes it as "LSU rRNA". It matches the Rfam family "Eukaryotic large subunit ribosomal RNA", at positions 47 to 465 of the family's 3401-position model. Lineage: Eukaryota; Fungi; Basidiomycota; Agaricomycetes; Russulales; Russulaceae. The record is from RNAcentral.